This 61-nucleotide transfer RNA is filed under the name Cyphonia clavata. RNAcentral describes it as "tRNA-Trp". Lineage: Eukaryota; Metazoa; Arthropoda; Insecta; Hemiptera; Membracidae. The record is from RNAcentral.
AAGAUUUUAAGUUAAUUAAACUAUUGGCCUUCAAAGUUAAAAUUGCAUAAGGCAAGUCUUA